CCAAAGGGGAAAACUUAGAUCAUACCCUGAAGGCAAAAGAAGAUAAAACCAGAAAGAAACCAGAGUCCAGAACAAUUCAUGUAUAAUUUUUUUUUUAAAAAAAAAUAACCCUCUUGCAUCAGCUUGCCCCCACCAUGAUGCUCUCUUUUAAGGGUAUUGGGUUUCAUCUAUAUACCAAAGCCAGCCAAGCUUCUCCUAGCAAACCUAGAUUGCCAAGAGCCAGGAUUCACUUUUUCAAGGCAGAUGAAAAACUUGUUGCUCUUCCUUCCACAAGAACAUUCCUCUCCCAUUCAAAUCUUCGUUCACCCACCCAGCCGCUUCUGCAAUG
Molecule: non-coding RNA, 328 nt
Organism: Notechis scutatus (mainland tiger snake)
Lineage: Eukaryota; Metazoa; Chordata; Lepidosauria; Squamata; Elapidae
Source: RefSeq, a predicted model, not a curated record